RNAcentral lists this ribosomal RNA (376 nucleotides) under uncultured bacterium. Its description in RNAcentral is "bacterial SSU rRNA". It matches the Rfam family "Bacterial small subunit ribosomal RNA", at positions 524 to 898 of the family's 1533-position model. The record is from RNAcentral.
UACGGAGGGGGCGAGCGUUAUUCGGAAUUAUUGGGCGUAAAGGGCGCGUAGGCGGCUCGAUAAGUCAAAGGUGAAAUCCCUCGGCUCAACUGAGGAACUGCCUUUGAAACUGUCGAGCUCGAGUCCGGGAGGGGGUAGCGGAAUUCCCAGUGUAGCGGUGAAAUGCGUAGAUAUUGGGAGGAACACCAGUGGCGAAAGCGGCUACCUGGACCGGAACUGACGCUGAUGCGCUAAAGCGUGGGUAGCAAACAGGAUUAGAUACCCUGGUAGUCCACGCUGUAAACGAUGGGUGCUCGGUGUCGCGGGUAUCGACCCCUGCGGUGCCUUAGCUAACGCGUUAAGCACCCCGCCUGGGGAGUACGGUCGCAAGGCUGAA